UAGCCAUGGUGUGGGCAAGCAAGAAGUAAGUCCUUGAACCAUUCCCAACAUUCGAAAAAAGUUUUAUCUAUUUUUUGGGAGAAGUUCAUUAUGUCUCGUCUGAGAGU
Small nucleolar RNA from Magnolia sinica, 107 nucleotides. The record is from RefSeq and is a predicted model, not a curated record. NCBI's taxonomy places the organism in Eukaryota, Viridiplantae, Streptophyta, Magnoliopsida, Magnoliales, Magnoliaceae.